AUAAUACAAAAUAUACAAUCAAUAACUAAUUUCUUUAAUGGGUAUACAUUGUGUUGUUGCUACUUCAUAACAAAUUAGGAAAUACACGUUAGUAAAUCGAUAUGAAAUGGAAUUGCUGUUACACCACGUUGACCUUAGAGUUCAAAUUUCUUUAACACGAAUAGAUAGAUACAGUUUUGUUACGUUUACUUUGCAGAGGAAUACUAGCCAAGCUUCAAGGAACUGUAGACGUGAGUGUAUGGCUUUAAUUUCAACUCGAUACCUGCAAGGGUUCCCGAGAUAAAGAAUCUUGACAGACAGACAACAAAGUGGUCCUAUAAGGGUUCAAUUUUUUCCCUUUGAGGUACCAAACCCUGAAAAGUACAAUGGGAGAAAGCAGCUGCUAUGCGUACGAGAAAUAAACUAUUCUCUCGACGCGUGUUGUAGUGGUCCUACCACACUGUUACACAACUUAUACGUUUGAGAAUGAAUUGAUUAUCUGGUAGUCACGUCAGUAUACAGUUCCAUUACAGAGUACCCAGCCGCACCACAACAAGCAAUGUAAUAAGAGCUGAAACAGCUGAAAUACCGAAAAGCAUUUGAAUCAUUCAAAACUCAAAUAUGUUAUUGAUAUUUGAGAUAAGAUAAGGCUGUGAGACCAUGUGCGUGAUUUAUUGUAUCGAUUAUUAUUGAACAGAUGUUUGUUGGUGAUACAGUGACUGUGAUAGGAUUUGACAUACUAUAGAUUUCGCAAUGGAACAACCUGAUAAAAAGGGGAGCAAAAGUGUAAUAUUACAGAUUAUUUUAGCAUUUCUAUCCAAUUUCUCGAACAUUGCCCCUGGUAUGAGUAUAGGUUUCUCAGCAAUAGCCAUACCAGCAUUACGCCAUUUUGACACACAGCAAAUAUCUUGGUU
Sitophilus oryzae (rice weevil) is the source of this 893-nucleotide long non-coding RNA. RefSeq lists it as uncharacterized. NCBI's taxonomy places the organism in Eukaryota, Metazoa, Arthropoda, Insecta, Coleoptera, Curculionidae. The record is from RefSeq and is a predicted model, not a curated record. The transcript has 3 exons.